AGACAUUUAAAGGCAGCUCUGAUCAACAUGAGACUUCAAGCUUUGGGAUCAAAGGUGGUGCAUCCUUAUGGAGCUCAGUCAAGAAAUUCCUGGGGUAUGAUAAUUGCUGCAAUUCCUUUUUGUUCUUUUACUCAAUAUUAUUUUUAUUACUUUGAUUUCUCCUCUAUGCACGACUAUACAUUCAAAUUAUAAGAAAAGGAUAAAUGUCCGUUUUUCUCAAUCUCAUGUCAUUUUCUUAAGCAUUCUAAAAGCUUAGCUGACAUUAUUACUAGAACUGCUAUGGUAUUAAUUACUAAAAAACAUAAUAAGGUUAAAAUAUUUAAAAAUAUUUGGACCCACACAAAUAGUGUAAUUAACUUGAGAGUGGAAUGUUCUUACGGGGAUAUGUACACUUUGGGUUAAAUUAUUAUGCAUGUCAUAUUUCACAUUUAGUUUGUGUACUUUAGACUUCUUUUUUAGGACAAAAUCUGUGUAUUUCUGGACAUGCUUUUGAGGAUGGAGUAUCAAGUCAGAUGACCUUGUAAUAAAGAUGGUCCAUGUAAUCUGUAGAAAAUAAGAACUUGAUUUUGGGAUAAUAAUUUCUUAAUUCAUUCUUCUCAAUUACAUUGGCUUAUAUACACAAGUAUCCUAAUUUAUAGUGUGCAUUAGUACCACGUAGCAACUCUAUUGUCUUUUUCUGCUUAUGAGCAAUACGGUGUACAUUAGUACCACGUAGCAACUCUAUUGUCUUUGUGUAUUGAUUUUGGCACUAAGUGCCUCUGGUGACCUAUUUGCUUCAUUUUCCUGACUUUGCUAUUAUUUUUAAAUAUGUGCAGGAAGACUGCUUCUACGACCUGCCUUACAAUACUGGGUAUCAAAUUUUCGUGCUACGUUUACGGAAGACAAGGGACGAAAUUAUGAAGUGUACUCUCUCUAUAUAUGUAGAUAUAUACUUUGAUUGAAGAACUGUGGUAGCUUUAGAUGGUUAAUUGUAAAGAUAAUGAAUGAUUAUGUAGUGGAUG
Molecule: long non-coding RNA, 1001 nt
Filed under: Panax ginseng (ginseng)
Lineage: Eukaryota; Viridiplantae; Streptophyta; Magnoliopsida; Apiales; Araliaceae
Description: long non-coding RNA (PGIN_LNC008939)
Source: RNAcentral